Molecule: ribosomal RNA, 253 nt
Filed under: uncultured bacterium
Lineage: Bacteria
Description: partial 16S ribosomal RNA
Rfam family: Bacterial small subunit ribosomal RNA
Source: RNAcentral
UACGUAGGGGGCAAGCGUUGUCCGGAUUUAUUGGGCGUAAAGAGCGUGUAGGCGGCCAGGUAGGUCUGCUGUGAAAACUCGAGGCUCAACCUCGAGACGUCGAUGGAAACCGUAUGGCUAGAGUCCGGAAGAGGAGAGUGGAAUUCCUGGUGUAGCGGUGAAAUGCGCAGAUAUCAGGAAGAACACCCGUGGCGAAGGCGGCUCUCUGGGACGGUACUGACGCUGAGACGCGAAAGCGUGGGGAGCGAACAGG